AGGCGGGAUUUCCGGUUAUUUGUGGGACCCGGUAUACCUCAGCCUGUACUGUGGUGUCAAUGCAGUGUUGAAAAAGUGAGGAAGGGUGUUUAUAAGGCAGAAGUGGACAAACCAUUAAAGGGAUGGAGAGGAUUCUUUAUAGAGGUCACUUUCCCAGGACCUGGGGGCCAUACCCACGUGUUCACCUCAGAGCUACACAUCAUUCCAGACACAUUUCCGUGCACAGACUGCAAAGGAGAGCAAUGCUAUGGGAAACUGGUGUAACACCAGGUGGAGAGGCUGGGACUUGUGCUGCUGAUAGGAUGCCUGAAACAAAGGCCUGGGAGGAAUGCAUGGACUAAAAAUCCAGGGGAGCAUCCCUAUUAAUCUUUUAUUCUUGCUCCCUCUUUUUUUGAAAUAAAACUUCCCCUAGGAUUCUUGCAGUUUUGCAGGUGCUGCCAUUUUAUUUCAUUUCAGGAAGAAUUAUAAUUUCCAUAAGCAAGGAAAAUCUUUUGAUUUAUAUUUCUGUCCUUGCAGCAACUUCCUAAUGAGAUUAUCUGAAAUUUUAAAGAAUGCUAUAGAAAUUGUAAAUUCAGAAAACAGAUCCAAAUUAUACUACUGGGUACCUUCUUGAUAGAAAAAUAGAGGUGAGAUGAAAUAAAAUUCAAAAGGGUUGUCCAAGAGUAAUGGUUGAAAGUGAAAAGCAGUAUGCUCUCAGCAUUGAAUACUAAAACCUCAGAGUUGCCAUGAGAGAAAUCCUGUAUCUUCAUCUGGCUAGAUACUAAAGAAACACUGCUGAAAUGAAGAACUUCUGCUUGAUGGUACCAUAGAGUAGUCUUGGAGGACCAAGAAAAUAUAGUAAUUUCUGGCAAAAGCACAUCAUAACAUUCUCUAUAGGACCUAGAAAAUUCCUAGAGAGGAUUUUUUUUUUCAGAUGCAGAUAGAUGAAAUUGCAGGGAGGGGUUCAUUUUUUUAAGUCCCUAAUGAAAGUGGGAGAACAAACUACCAUUUGAAUGUAUUAAGAAUGUUCAUGCCCUGAGAAUGAUCCAGGAAAGUUCACAUUUUGUGAAUUCUCGUAUUUUUCCCCUCAUCUCUUGUCAGGAUGACCCCUUUGAAAUAUGAAUGUGAAGGAGCCACACCUGAUCCCUGGAUUCACAUUCCUUUUAUGAUGACAAUUAAAACGCCUGAGGGUUGCUUAUCGAAACAAGGAUGAGUAGCAGGAUAUGUUUAUUUUCUGUCCUAGUUUCUUCUUCCCCUCAAAAAGCCAUUUCCCCCCAAUAACCAGACAUUAAGCCUGGAA
Molecule: RNA transcript, 1279 nt
Organism: Anolis carolinensis (green anole)
Lineage: Eukaryota; Metazoa; Chordata; Lepidosauria; Squamata; Anolidae
Exons: 3
Source: RefSeq, a predicted model, not a curated record